AUUCAGGUGAUGAGUCUCAAAUAGGACGAAACGCAAGUUCUGGAU
Molecule: non-coding RNA, 45 nt
Filed under: Schistosoma margrebowiei
Lineage: Eukaryota; Metazoa; Platyhelminthes; Trematoda; Strigeidida; Schistosomatidae
Source: RNAcentral